AUUGAACGCUGGCGGCAUGCCUUACACAUGCAAGUCGAACGGCAGCAUGAUCUAGCUUGCUAGAUUGAUGGCGAGUGGCGCACGGGUGAGUAAUACAUCGGAACAUGCCCUGUAGUGGGGGAUAACUAGUCGAAAGAUUAGCUAAUACCGCAUACGACCUGAGGGUGAAAGUGGGGGACCGCAAGGCCUCAUGCUAUAGGGGCGGCCGAUGUCUGAUUAGCUAGUUGGUGGGGUAAAGGCUCACCAAGGCGACGAUCAGUAGCUGGUCUGAGAGGACGAUCAGCCACACUGGAACUGAGACACGGCCCAGACUCCUACGGGAGGCAGCAGUGGGGAAUAUUGGACAAUGGGCGAAAGCCUGAUCCAGCAAUGCCGCGUGUGUGAAGAAGGCCUUCGGGUUGUAAAGCACUUUUGUCCGGAAAGAAAUGGCUCUGGUUAAUACCUGGGGUCGAUGACGGUACCGGAAGAAUAAGGACCGGCUAACUACGUG
RNAcentral lists this ribosomal RNA (490 nucleotides) under uncultured bacterium. RNAcentral's name for it is "partial 16S ribosomal RNA". It matches the Rfam family "Bacterial small subunit ribosomal RNA", at positions 30 to 507 of the family's 1533-position model. The record is from RNAcentral.